ACGAACGCUGGCGGCGUGCUUAACACAUGCAAGUCGAACGGAAAGGCCCUGCUUGCAGGGUACUCGAGUGGCGAACGGGUGAGUAACACGUGGGUGAUCUGCCCUGCACUUCGGGAUAAGCCUGGGAAACUGGGUCUAAUACCGGAUAGGAGCCAUUCUUAGUGUGAUGGUUGGAAAGUUUUUUCGGUGUAGGAUGAGCUCGCGGCCUAUCAGCUUGUUGGUGGGGUAAUGGCCUACCAAGGCGGCGACGGGUAGCCGGCCUGAGAGGGUGGACGGCCACAUUGGGACUGAGAUACGGCCCAGACUCCUACGGGAGGCAGCAGUGGGGAAUAUUGCACAAUGGGCGCAAGCCUGAUGCAGCGACGCCGCGUGGGGGAUGACGGCCUUCGGGUUGGAAACUCCUUUCGCUAGGGACGAAGCUUUUUGUGACGGUACCUAGAUAAGAAGCACCGGCUAACUACGUG
This 464-nucleotide ribosomal RNA is filed under the name uncultured bacterium. Its description in RNAcentral is "partial 16S ribosomal RNA". It matches the Rfam family "Bacterial small subunit ribosomal RNA", at positions 29 to 507 of the family's 1533-position model. The record is from RNAcentral.